GGAGGGUUCGCAUAGUGGUCUAGUGCGCACGCUUGGAAAGCGUGUAAGGGGGUAACCCCUUCGAGGGUUCAAAUCCCUCACCCUCCG
Molecule: transfer RNA, 87 nt
Filed under: Candidatus Vogelbacteria bacterium RIFOXYD1_FULL_46_19
Lineage: Bacteria; Candidatus Vogeliibacteriota
Description: tRNA-Ser
Rfam family: tRNA
About the family: Transfer RNA (tRNA) molecules are approximately 80 nucleotides in length.
Source: RNAcentral